GGGGGGGCUCUGCCGCAGACGCUAACACGAGAAGACGGUUAGACAGGUAAGACUUUCCUCUCUGCGGUGCUGCUCAGAAAUGCAUUUGGAGUCCUGAAAGUGGCGAUGAGACGCGGACCUGCGCUCGCCCUGAGGGCGGUGGAGACGGAGAGGAUUUUCUGAAGCUUUCCGGUCUUCAGGUUUCACCGCUGAGCCUCUGGGAGCAGAUCUCUGAAUGUUUCCUUCUUCCCUCAUGGAGAUCUGAAUCUCUGAUGAAACAGCUGCACUAAACGGCAGGAAAACAGAGUUUUUCCUAUUUUGUUGGCUUCCAUCUUUUCUCUGGAAGGCUGAGAUGGGAUGAAUAUGGACUUUAUGAACAACCGUCCAAUAACGUGUCAACCCAAAGCUCUUUGGAUGAACGGCCAGUUUGUCCCGAGCUGCUGAAACUUGGUUAUGUCAUUAUCUCCAUAUUCUUAUUUCUCUUGACACCAUCUGUGGCGGUUCCAAAA
Molecule: long non-coding RNA, 488 nt
Organism: Oryzias latipes (Japanese medaka)
Lineage: Eukaryota; Metazoa; Chordata; Actinopteri; Beloniformes; Adrianichthyidae
Source: RefSeq, a predicted model, not a curated record